GACGAACGCUGGCGGCGUGCCUAAUACAUGCAAGUAGAACGCUGAAGGAGGAGCUUGCUUCUCUGGAUGAGUUGCGAACGGGUGAGUAACGCGUAGGUAACCUGCCUGGUAGCGGGGGAUAACUAUUGGAAACGAUAGCUAAUACCGCAUAAGAACAGUUGUUGCAUGACAGCUGUUUAAAAGGUGCAAUUGCAUCACUACCAGAUGGACCUGCGUUAUAUUAGCUAGUUGGUGGGGUAACGGCUCACCAAGGCAACGAUACAUAGCCGACCUGAGAGGGUGAUCGGCCACACUGGGACUGAGACACGGCCCAGACUCCUACGGGAGGCAGCAGUAGGGAAUCUUCGGCAAUGGACGGAAGUCUGACCGAGCAACGCCGCGUGAGUGAAGAAGGUUUUCGGAUCGUAAAGCUCUGUUGUAAGAGAAGAACGAGUGUGAGAGUGGAAAGUUCACACU
RNAcentral lists this ribosomal RNA (456 nucleotides) under Streptococcus mitis. RNAcentral describes it as "bacterial SSU rRNA". It matches the Rfam family "Bacterial small subunit ribosomal RNA", at positions 28 to 470 of the family's 1533-position model. Lineage: Bacteria; Bacillati; Bacillota; Bacilli; Lactobacillales; Streptococcaceae. The record is from RNAcentral.